UAUGGGGUUCCUACUGUACUCUUGAUUUCGCCUGACUUCAGAAGCUAAGCAGGAUCAGGCCUGGUCAGUAUUGGGAGGCAAGAUGACGAAAGAAGACCAAGAUCCUCCAGGC
This 112-nucleotide ribosomal RNA is filed under the name Pogona vitticeps (central bearded dragon). The record is from RNAcentral. Lineage: Eukaryota; Metazoa; Chordata; Lepidosauria; Squamata; Agamidae.